RNAcentral lists this small RNA (170 nucleotides) under Klebsiella variicola. Its description in RNAcentral is "RtT sRNA". The stretch from base 1 to 66 matches the Rfam family "tRNA". Lineage: Bacteria; Pseudomonadati; Pseudomonadota; Gammaproteobacteria; Enterobacterales; Enterobacteriaceae. The record is from RNAcentral. RNAcentral also lists the same sequence under 5 other names.
UAGCUCAGUUGGUAGAGCAGUUGACUUUUAAUCAAUUGGUCGCAGGUUCGAAUCCUGCACGACCCACCAAUCGUUCUGGUGGAACGCGAUAGUAAAACGUGAAGGAUAACGUUGCGACAGCAACGGCCCAUAGGGCGAGGCGAAGCCGAGUCAUCCUGCACGACCCACCA